GAUGAACGCUGGCGGCGUGCCUAAUACAUGCCAGUCGAGCGAACGGACGAGGAGCUUGCUCCUCUGACGUUAGCGGCGGACGGGUGAGUAACACGUGGAUAACCUACCUAUAAGACUGGGAUAACUUCGGGAAACCGGAGCUAAUACCGGAUAAUAUAUUGAACCGCAUGGUUCAAUAGUGAAAGACGGUUUUGCUGUCACUUAUAGAUGGAUCCGCGCCGCAUUAGCUAGUUGGUAAGGUAACGGCUUACCAAGGCAACGAUGCGUAGCCGACCUGAGAGGGUGAUCGGCCACACUGGAACUGAGACACGGUCCAGACUCCUACGGGAGGCAGCAGUAGGGAAUCUUCCGCAAUGGGCGAAAGCCUGACGGAGCAACGCCGCGUGAGUGAUGAAGGUCUUCGGAUCGUAAAACUCUGUUAUUAGGGAAGAACAAAUGUGUAAGUAACUAUGCACGUCUUGACGGUACCUAAUCAGAAAGCCACGGCUAACUACGUG
RNAcentral lists this ribosomal RNA (497 nucleotides) under uncultured bacterium. RNAcentral's name for it is "partial 16S ribosomal RNA". It matches the Rfam family "Bacterial small subunit ribosomal RNA", at positions 28 to 507 of the family's 1533-position model. The record is from RNAcentral.